Molecule: long non-coding RNA, 1556 nt
Filed under: Callithrix jacchus (white-tufted-ear marmoset)
Lineage: Eukaryota; Metazoa; Chordata; Mammalia; Primates; Cebidae
Description: lncRNA (ENSCJAG00000086626.1)
Source: RNAcentral
CUCCCUUACUCUACUCUGGAGGCAUGGUGGCCAACAGCUGAUAAAUGGAGGGUCUAUCAGCCCAGCCCUCUUGCCUCUGUGGCCAGGAUGACCUUGAUGGUGCACUUUGUGCUCCAGGGCUCCCCAGGGGAUCAAACUGAGGCGGGAUUUCCCCUGACAUCCUCACUGAGCUCAUUCCCCUACUCCUCUCACUCGCCUGUGGGUUUCUCCUGAGAGCACUCCCUCAAAACAUCACUUGCCUAAGAAUCUCCAUCUCUGAUUCUGCUUCUAGGGACCUGACCCAUAAUGAGGGGAAGAAGAAAAUGAGCCAAGCCAGUAACCCAUUUGUGUUAUGAGCACCCUCCUGGGCUCACAUGUCCUGAGCCCGGCACAGACCAGGGGAUGUCUGAACACAAGACGAGGAAAUUUGAGAAGAAGAAAUGAUGACAUUCAUCUGGAAGAGCAGAGAAGACUUCCUGAAGGAGAUAGCAUUUCUUCUGGGCCUCAUGGAUGUGCCUGACUUAAAAACGUGAAGCCAGGUCGGGGAGAGCAUUCUAGGUGGAAAAAGAGUCUCAUCUAAAUGAACGUGCUCGUCUCUCCAACAUUUUCCUUUUGUCUUUUCAGCUGCCUCAAAGCAGGACUGUGAUCUUCCCCCACCUUUCUCAUGGUGGGCCUUAGAACCUUAGGACCUUGCCCAGGGAGGGCCCCACCCUAUACACUGGGGGAAGGGACACUGACAUCAUGAAGCUUUCGUAAGAAGAUAGGGGGUUGGGAGGCCAAGGCGGGCAGAUCAUCUGAGGUUGGGAGUUCGAGACCAGCCUGACCGACAUGGAAAAACCCCAUCUCUACUAAAAAUACAAAAUUAGUAGGGCGUGGUGGUGUAUGCCUGUAAUCCCAGCUACUCAGGAGGCUGAGGCAAGAGAAUUGCUUGAACCUGGGAGGCGGAGGUUGUGGUGAGCCAAGAUCAUGCCAUUGCACUACAGCCUGGGUGACAAGAGUGAAACUGUGUCUCAAAAAAACACAAAAAUGACUCAGGGGACUAGGGUCAGAGAGCUUCCAGAUAGCUUGACAAGUGGAGAUUCCUAGAGGGUGUCCCAAGGAGGGCAUGGAAACUCUAUGCCCCCUCCCCCAUACCUAACCCUACACAUCUCCUCCUUUGUAAUGUCCUUUAUAACAGAUCAGCAAAUGUGAGUGUUGCCCUGAGUUCCGUGAGCUGCUCCAGCAAGUUAAUUGAACCUCAGGAGGGGAUCAUGGAAACCCCAACCUGAAGCCGGGUGAUCAGAAGUUCCAGAGACCUAGACUUGUGACUGGUAUUUGGGGGUAUGAGGGGCAGUCUUGGGCACUGAGCCCCCAGCCUGUGGGAUCUGACACAGUCUCCAGGUGGAUAGCAUCAGAAUUGACUUGGAGGAUACCCAGCCAGGGUCCACUGCUUGGUGUGUGAGGGGGAAAUUUUGGGCCACAGAAGCUUUCUGUGGGGGUGAUUGUUGCUGUGGCGGUGUGACAGCAGAGAAAGACACGGUGUGAAGAGAGUGUUCCCUACACAGAUACCAAAGUAAAACUUCAACUUUGGAUAUGAU